AGGGAUCAUUACACAAAUAUGAAGGCGGGCUGGAACCUCUCGGGGUUACAGCCUUGCUGAAUUAUUCACCCUUGUCUUUUGCGUACUUCUUGUUUCCUUGGUGGGUUCGCCCACCACUAGGACAAACAUAAACCUUUUGUAAUUGCAAUCAGCGUCAGUAACAAAUUAAUAAUUACAACUUUCAACAACGGAUCUCUUGGUUCUGGCAUCGAUGAAGAACGCAGCGAAAUGCGAUAAGUAAUGUGAAUUGCAGAAUUCAGUGAAUCAUCGAAUCUUUGAACGCACAUUGCGCCCCUUGGUAUUCCGAGGGGCAUGCCUGUUCGAGCGUCAUUACACCACUCAAGCUAUGCUUGGUAUUGGGUGCCGUCCUUAGUUGGGCGCGCCUUAAAGACCUCGGCGAGGCCACUCCGGCUUUAGGCGUAGUAGAAUUUAUUCGAACGUCUGUCAAAGGAGAGGAACUCUGCCGAUUGAAACCUUUAUUUUUCUAGGUUGACCUCGGAUCAGGUAGGGAUACCCGCUGAACUUAAGCAUAUCAAUAAG
This 540-nucleotide ribosomal RNA is filed under the name uncultured fungus. RNAcentral describes it as "eukaryotic LSU rRNA". The stretch from base 177 to 330 matches the Rfam family "5.8S ribosomal RNA". The record is from RNAcentral. Lineage: Eukaryota; Fungi.